This 484-nucleotide ribosomal RNA is filed under the name uncultured bacterium. RNAcentral's name for it is "partial 16S ribosomal RNA". It matches the Rfam family "Bacterial small subunit ribosomal RNA", at positions 29 to 507 of the family's 1533-position model. The record is from RNAcentral.
AUUGAACGCUGGCGGCAUGCUUUACACAUGCAAGUCGAACGGCAGCGCGGGCUUCGGCCUGGCGGCGAGUGGCGAACGGGUGAGUAAUGCAUCGGAACGUGCCCAGUAGUGGGGGAUAGCCCGGCGAAAGCCGGAUUAAUACCGCAUACGACCUGAGGGUGAAAGCGGGGGACCGAAAGGCCUCGCGCUAUUGGAGCGGCCGAUGUCGGAUUAGCUAGUUGGUGGGGUAAAGGCUUACCAAGGCGACGAUCCGUAGCUGGUCUGAGAGGACGACCAGCCACAGUGGGAGGGAAAAACGGCCACGACCCCUGGGGGGGGAGGCAGGGGGGAAUUUGGGAAAAUGGGGGCAACCCUGACCCAGCAAUGCGGCGGGCGGGAGGAGGGCCUUGGGGUUGUAAACCGUUUUUGUUGGGGAAAAAACCCUCGGGCCUAAACCCCGGGGGGGAUGACGGUACCGAAAAAAAAAGCACCGGCUAACUACGUG